Molecule: transfer RNA, 72 nt
Filed under: Bacteroidales bacterium
Lineage: Bacteria; Pseudomonadati; Bacteroidota; Bacteroidia; Bacteroidales
Also listed under: 1 other name
Description: tRNA-Arg
Rfam family: tRNA
About the family: Transfer RNA (tRNA) molecules are approximately 80 nucleotides in length. Their secondary structure includes four short double-helical elements and three loops (D, anti-codon, and T loops). Further hydrogen bonds mediate the characteristic L-shaped molecular structure. tRNAs have two regions of fundamental functional importance: the anti-codon, which is responsible for specific mRNA codon recognition, and the 3' end, to which the tRNAs corresponding amino acid is attached (by aminoacyl-tRNA synthetases). tRNAs cope with the degeneracy of the genetic code in two manners: having more than one tRNA (with a specific anti-codon) for a particular amino acid; and 'wobble' base-pairing, i.e. permitting non-standard base-pairing at the 3rd anti-codon position.
Source: RNAcentral
GCCUCUGUAGUUCAACGGAUAGAAUAGCGGUUUCCUAAACCGUUGAUCUGGGUUCGAUUCCCAGCGGAGGUA